This 74-nucleotide transfer RNA is filed under the name Candidatus Opitulatrix roisinitermitis. RNAcentral's name for it is "tRNA-Asp". It matches the Rfam family "tRNA". Rfam says of the family: Transfer RNA (tRNA) molecules are approximately 80 nucleotides in length. The record is from RNAcentral. Lineage: Bacteria; Bacillati; Actinomycetota; Actinomycetes; Bifidobacteriales; Bifidobacteriaceae.
GGCCCUAUAGCUCAGUUGGUUAGAGCGCUGCCCUGUCACGGCAGAGGUCGCCGGUUCAAGUCUGGUUAGGGUCG